UCGGAAGAUGUAAUAGGAGCCAUGAAGAGAAAACAGGAUUAUAUAGGGAGAACGAAUUUUAUCCUAAAGAGAUUAAUGAUACAUUAUGAGCGUAACGCAUUUAUGACUAGGUCAUUGAAUGUGCACUUAAUAAAUAGCUUUCGUAAUGGUCUAUAAUAAAGAUUUUAUGCAACCUUAAAUUUUUAGUGGAACCCAAAAAAGUGUGACAAACCCAUAACCCAAACCGGACAGCGAUAAGAUGACGAAUGGCAAACCGCUAUGGGUGGCGACCAACAUGAAAUGGCAUGCUCAAACCCACCGAGAAUGUCAAAUUGUGUGUGGCCAGAAGGCAUAAGGCACACGGAUGACUAGAGCUUUAUGUAACACUCCCUAACCUCAAACCGUCUUGGGAACAGGGUUACGGAGCAUUACCGGACCUAUCAGACAAUUUACAAUUAAUAUACACAUAAUUACCAAACAUAGCAUAAAACACCUAUAUUUAACCAAUCGAAACACAUUUAAAUAAACUCAAAACUUUCCAAAUUUAGACAUUUUAUAUAUUAUCCAAUACUUAAUUCUAUUCACUUAUCAUAUAUGAUCAAAUAGUUCAGAUUCAUACUUAUUAUCCUAAUUCUAUCAUAUACCAUUGCCAAGCUUAAUUCUACUUAUUUCAUUAAUACAUUAACAAUCCAAAACGACACACACGUAAAACACCCUAGGCAUAUGCCAUUACCAACUAUUAACACGUUUUACCUCAUUGAAUUCAGGAUCGGCCUGGGAUGCUGAUUCAACGUUCUAGCUUUAAUUUAACCUGCGCAUGGAAGCAAACCGUAUGCUGAGUAUGAACUCAGUGGUAUUUCUAUAAUCCAAACACUUAAUAAUAUAACAUACACUUAAAAACAUAUAUUGAUCAUAAAUAUUCAAUUAUUCAUUCCAUAGGUAAAUUCUUUAUAACUCAUUCAAUUCUUAUCAUCUAUUAAUCCGAUUAUUCUUCAGUUCACUAUUCAGUAACAUUAAAUAACAUUCAACUAUCACAUUUCAAUUAGUAUUCUGUACUUAUCCAUUUUAGUAACAAUCAGUCAUCAGUAAUAAUCAGUAAUUCAGUAACAGUCAAAUAUUCAGUAGCAAUCAAUUAUUCAGUACAUUUAUUUACCCCUAUUAACAUGAAUCAGACCUGGAGGGAUAUACGGAUCCAACCCAAACACCGGGAUAGCAUACAGUGUUUCAUCGGCCGGAGCCGGAAUACACGUAACGGUAACGGUAACAGUAACAGUAGCGGUACACAGAAUACCUCAUCGGAACAAAUUCGGAACAGUAACAGUAACAAUAAGGUACGAAGUACCUCUUCGGAACGAAUUCGAAAUAGUAACAAUAGUCGACACUUAUAGUGUCUCAACGACACAAAGUCGGAGUAUCCCUGAACACUUCCAAUCCUAUGGCAUGCCAACUAUAUCCGACUUAGUUCGAUACAGUUAAUAGGGUUUCUAAUUCAUUUCCAGUUUCCAAUCAUUACACAUCUCAACAAUCAUAUAUAUUCAUAAUUCGAUAUAAUUCAUUUCACUUUUUCAAUAACAAAUAUUCACUUUUCACAAUAAUCACAUAUAUCUGUAUAAAUUCAAUAAAUUUAACACAUACCUAAUCAAUCCAUUUCAAUUAUAAAACACAAUAUUUCUCACCUCAAUUACUAUCAUAAUAUUCAAUCAAAAUUCAACAAUGAAUAAAUAAUUUCACUUUUCAAUUUUAACCAAUAUCUAUUCUAAUUCAAAUAUUCAUCUCAAAGCACUUUCUAUAUAUAUUAAGUAAUAAACUCAAUAAUUAAAUAUUAAGUUCGGAUUAUAGAAAUACAAACCAUAAUUUUCGAGCUAACCCUCGUUGACUUUGUCUUUUCCUUUAUUAGCCGAGGUUUUCCGGCACAACGUUAACUAUUUAAAUUCCAAGCUUUAAAAUCCAUAUUUCUCCCUUUUCUUUCUUUCCCUUUUUCCUUUCUUUCUUUCUCCCCUAUUUUUCGUUUCUAUUCUCUGUUC
This 2003-nucleotide long non-coding RNA is filed under the name Gossypium barbadense (sea-island cotton). Its description in RNAcentral is "long non-coding RNA (GBAR_LNC004469)". The record is from RNAcentral. Lineage: Eukaryota; Viridiplantae; Streptophyta; Magnoliopsida; Malvales; Malvaceae.